Molecule: long non-coding RNA, 10137 nt
Organism: Rattus norvegicus (Norway rat)
Lineage: Eukaryota; Metazoa; Chordata; Mammalia; Rodentia; Muridae
Source: RefSeq, a predicted model, not a curated record
GCGGUUGAGAGGCGUGUCAGUGGGUGUUCACAUCUCCUCUCCCUUUCAGUCAGCUCAGGGUCCCUCCCCACAGCACAGCUCUGUUCCCAUUUAGGAUGAGUCUUUACACCUCAGGGUGGGCGCUGUCUCUGGUCCUGAACCUGACCUGCCUCUCCCACGAGCCUCAGGGCGGGAGCUGGGGGAAUUCCAGUCUGCAGCACUGACUCCAUCAUUAAUUCAAACCCUGAGAGGUGCACCAUCAUCUCGGAAAACCCAGAUUAAUGUAUAGGUCCAUCCUGAGUCUGGACUGGGUGCUCUCUGUGACUCGGAAUCAUGGUCUGAUAUGAGAGCAGAUGUGGACCCUGGACACCUCCUACCUGUCCACCUGGCAGAAUGGACAGACAAGGAACAGAGGCCAACUGUACCCUUUGAGAAGGACAAGGGUCUGGGGCACUCUCACCUGGGGUCUGAGACGUCCCCAGAAUAACAACUGAACCCAUGUUUGUGGGUACCCUUCUUACGUGACUCGUGGCUUCUGUUCAGAUCUGGAAGAAGCCAUCCCAGGGCCAGUGUGGCUUUGUAGAUGGAUGCAUAGCCUGCUUGCUGGCAGGUGACAGGGAGGUGGGACUGUAUUGUGAGGUGAGCCCGAUGCAACAGAGGCUGGGUGUUUUGCUGUAUUUCUCAUUCAUAAAGCACGGCCACCUGUUUCUUCUCUUGUUUUGUUAAUUUUUUUUAAGGCAAAGCGUUUUUGGAAGCCUAUUAAGAAACAUCAAAAUGAUUCUUGGGCAUUAAGCAGCUGUUAAAAUGUUUUGAUGGCUUUAAAAUAACAAAUAAGCUAGAAACAUAUGGAUUUCAUUUUUCUCUCGGUGUGUAGAUGGUUACAAGGCAAGUUAGCCACGAAAAUACGGUUUAGCUCUCCUCUUAUUUCGGGAGGACGCUAAUCACUAAACAAGCGAAGGUGGAAACAUCGUCAAAGUUAAGUUGUCUGGGGCACAGAUGGCUAAGCUCACGUGCAUUGGUCAGUGUAGAACAAAGAGUCGUGAAGAGCUCCUUGAAAACUAAGUUGGUAACUCAUCUACUUUGCACCGGAAUAUCGUCUGCAAAGAUCACUGAGAGAGUGUGCGUCUUCCAGAGUGGAGCGGCCUACCCCAGACUGGAAGUCUAACCAUGCGUCUAUGGUACAGAAAACCUGGAACACAUGAGGAAACUCAGGGGAUUGGCCACCUAAGGUCUGGACCUGGACCUGCAGCUUUCCUUCAUGGUUAGGUAAUGGGGCGUACUGGCUACCAGUUGGAAGGUUUGGGACUCCUCAGGACUUGCAACCUAUAGUGUGGAUAUGGUAUUGAUUAUAGCUACCAAGUGGGCAGCUGCACCUCAGGUUCCAGGCUCCCAGGUCAGGCUUCUGAUCAGUUUUGUUUCCUCUAUUGGUUUCCCCCCAAGGAGAUGUUUUCCAGGUUGGCUCUGUACCUUGUAUCCUGGUGUUCAGUGCGCUUAGUUCAUAUGAGGUUGUCUCUUGCAAACCAUCUCUGUGAGCCCCUGGAAAAGUCUAGUUGUUUCUACCAGGCUCAGGGAGAGACCUUGGAACACAGGAAUGACUCCAGGCACCGCAUUCUGAGUUCAUCCACAGUAUCCUUGCCUUAGGGGCUGGAAAUCGUGGCUCACAGGCAAGAGAUGCCUCACGUCUGCCUGCCUGGCAGAGCAUCCAGAAGAAGGGAAGAUACAACUGUGCAGACAGCAGUCAUUUUAAAUCACAGAGAGCGGGGUUGUGGAUUUAGCUCAGUGGUAGAGUGCUUGCCUAGCAAGUGCAAGGCUCCGGGUUCUGUCCCCAGCUCCGAAAAAAAAGAAGAAAAAAUCACAGAGAGCUAUUGUAUUAACUAAUGACUGUGAUGGCCAUUUACUUAUCCCUGGCUCAGCUUGUGGCAAGUUCCCUCACACACUCCAGGGAACAGUCACCAGGAAUCUUAAAUAUAGUUGGGUAAAUCAAGGCUAGAUUGUGUUAAUGACUUUUCUAAAAGUCUGUCUCUGGGGAUGUCUGGAUAAAGCCUGGAAGACAGGCGUGCCUACUGGGCCACAUUCUCACAGGAUCUUUUCAACCAGCCUGCUCCGUGGGUCAGCCACCCACGAGAAGUAAGUGUUACAAGCAGCACACUUAUUAGCCCAGAGCUUGAUGUCAGCUAUGACCGCGUGUUCAAACACUUUCUUUAAUAACUCACGUUAGAAACCAGAGAGACAACCUACUGGGUAAAGAAUUUGCCCUGCAAGCUAAGAUGAUCUGAGUCUGGAUCCCCAGAACCCACAUAAAGCCAGACGCAAUGUUUAUCUGUAAUCUUGGGGAUUCUACAGUGAGGUGGGAGACAAAGUCAGGAGAAUCCCUGUGGGCCAAUGAGCCUUGUGUACACAAUGGAGAGCAGCAAGAGGUCAGGUUUGAAAACACACCAGAGGUCCUCUGAUCUCCAUACACACACACACACACACACACACACACAGAGUCAGAGACAGAGAGACAGAGACAGAGAGACAGAGGCAGAGAAAGACAGAGGGAGACAAAGAGAGAGAGAGAGAGAGAGAGAGAGAGAGAGAGAGAGAGAGAGAGAGAGAGAGAUAUGUUAAAAAUAAAUAAAACAAAGAGUUCUCUCCAGAGGGAAUAUAUAUAGGAGACAGACAAGCCGAUAGCAUCACUGUCUGACCCCUCUCCUCAAACUCCAGCAUCAGCCUCUCCCAUGUAUUGCUUGCAGGGGCCUCUCGGUCCAUAGUUAUUAUUUUUUGAUAACUAAAUCAUCCAGAGUUCCUGGAGUGUUGUUGGAGGCUCAUCUGUUACAAGGUGAUUAGUAAGCUGGACUGAGUACUGAGCUUUGAGAUAAUGCAAAGUCCAUAGGACGGCGGACGGCACCAGGCUCAGAUUUGGCUGUGUAAUUACACACAUAGGGCUCAGUGCAAAACAAAAACACAGGGAUACUUGUUGAAGCAUUGUUAAGAAUCUCAAGAAGUAGGUGUGGGAUCAUGAGUUAAAGCAGGUCCUGGGCAAGUGUACUGGCCACAGGCUGGUACUGACCAGGGCCAGUACAUGGGUCACAUAAAGGGGCUCAAGAUAACCGUACCAGAUGCUUUGAGAUAUACACCCUAUAUACACGAGCAAGCCAAGGUUUCAAGAUGAAAUCCUGUGUCCAAAUCCCCUAACUAACACAGCUCAGACAUCACCACCCCCAAGGAACCAUCCCCAGUGGCCUGGAUUUCAGUGUUCUUGCCAACUACUCAUUCCUUUUGCAAGUAGCAUUGUCAAACUUACAAUUAUAUAAAUUUUUGGAAGCAAUGUCUCUUUUUGUAGACCAGGAACUCAUUAAAUAGCUCAGACUGGCUUCAAUCUUCUGAUUCUCUUGCCCUAGUCUCCUUGUACUAGGAUUAUUGGUAUAUACCACUGUAUCUAUGUUAACGAAUAUUCACUUUGGUAUGAGAGUAUAAGAAAACACCCUUUAUCCUAGGAGAUGGAGAAAAUAAAGCACAAAGAGGCACAUUAUAAUAACCCUGUGGUAUUACUGUGUAGACAUCCUGGUUUUAUCUAAACAUCUAUUAUAAACGAAGUAUACAUUAUAGAUAGGUAGACAGGUUUAUGCAUAGAUAGUGGGUGUUCAUUGACUGGUAGGUAAGUUGGUAGAUUGACUAGUUGCUGGAAAGGGUGGGUUGACAGGUAUGAACAAACACAGGUGUUUCUCCUGGCCAUGACAAAAUCCCGACAGAAGCAACUGUGCAAAGAGAUGUUUACUUGGGCUCAUAACUUUGUGCCAAGGGAGACAUGUUUGUGGCUGACAUAGCUUGGUCUGCAAUGGCGAGCUCACAGCACGUGGCUUGUUCACACCUUGGUAUACAGAAUGCAGAGAGAAUCGGACCAGAAGCCGAGCUGGGGCAAGCAUUCAAGGGUUACUCAUGGGGGCCUCCUUCUACGGACUAGGACCACCUUUUCAGGGAUUGUACAACCUCCCCAAACAGGACUGCCAAGUGUUAAAGCACAGGAACCCAUGGGAUACAGUUCACGUUCAAGCCAUCACAGAUCAAGGUAACAUCAGCCACCAGUUUCCGUAUUGUUGGAGCAGAAGCAUCGGGGUAAGCUGGGGGCAGCCAUUUUAGCUUCUGUAGAACACGAGUGCACAUGGCUUAUCUCUCCCUUGUGUGCACGCCAGUGACUCACUGCCUUCUAGCUACAGGCAGGCCCCAGUCAGAGAAACCUAACAUUUCCACCCUCCUUCGUCCUGUUUCAAAGUGCUUGGCCCUGGAGUUGAUGUCCAGUGGUUUUAUUAAGGCGUUGGCACCUGGCUGGUCCAUGGGCUGUGUUUGUAAGUCUUGUGCUUUGCACAUGAACUGUAGAUAUACACACCGAGUAACUACAACGAAGCUUGCUUUGAGAAAUGACCUGAUUAUAAUGACACAAUGCUAAGGCAGGAGCCUUCACCCGCUGGUCCGUGUUUCCCUCAGAUCUCUCUUCUGAUAAGUCUACUCCCAGCCAGAGUGACCUUCCGCCCCCAUCACCCCUCAAAUCUGCAGUCUCUACUUCCAAAUAUGCCCAUCAGUGAUUCACGAGGAGCUGCCUGCUUGAGAAAACGCCUGUCACCAUUACCCAAUCAUUUGCCGUGAGAGGCGCCAGGGCCUUUGAUACCCAGGCUGCUUCGGCCGAGAAAUACAGAGAGUUCCAUAUAAAAUCCUGAGGAGCAGUUUGCUUCCCAAAAACAGGGGAAAGAGCCAAGGUAUUUUUUUUUCUGCUCACCAACACAGUGUGAAUGGAUGAGGGGUAUCAAAUACCGGCUAGGCUGCAGGCUACUGAGAUAGAAUCAUAUAGACCGAGCUAGCUCUUUGUCUCAGAAGAUUCUUUGGGGUUCCGCCCACUUCCGGUCUACUUGGCAGUCAGUAUCCUAUGAGACCUGUGCCUUCCUGCUCUUCCUGGGGGCCCACACUUCCUGGGACUGUGAGUCUCAGGCGCUUGUCUCUGUGAGCUUAAUAGAAUGCUAGGUUUCCAUUGCAAACCAAAGUGGACAUAUGCUGUCUGCCUCUUCCCUGCGUGCACGCCAGGAGUUCAUAGACUUAAUUUGUUGGCUGGGAGAAGAAAACGAAGAAGGCAAAAUCCACGGACCUCGAGUGUCUUCAAGGAGAGCUACGGGGACUGAAUCUGAAAACACACCUUGGAGAAGCCAUGGCUGAAGGGUUUCCUCGGGGGCUGAGGCUCUUUUGCGGAAACCUGUUCAAUGCGCUGUCAGCGGGCACAGUAAAACCAGCGUCUGGCACUGAGCAAUGGAGGCCCCGGGGACACACACACGUCAAAAUGCCACCUUCAAAAUAACUAGCCUUUGAGGACAAUUGAAUUGAUUCCUGGGUGCAGAGUCAUAAUGGCAUAACCCCGAGUGAUUAUUGCUUCGUUUAUGGCUUUAUUUUUUCAUAUAUACACAAAAAAGAAUUACCUUCUCCAGAGAGGAGCUGAACUAAUAAGCAUUGCUCAUAGAUAUGCUCAUUUUCAACCCCUUUCCCUUAAACUGUGAUUUGGAAUUCGAAGCAAAUAGCUGCUAGGGCUUGCAAUGAUUUAUUUAGCAGUGCUUUGAGCCAGGCAAGAAGUUAGAUGAAUUGAAGGCAGUGAUGGAUUUGUAGACACUGCUGUGGCUGGUCACUUGACCCCUGACCCUAAGCCAGUGCAGCGUUGUGGGAAGAAGUCAGGGAGGACUCAGGUGACAGUCAUCCUCAGCGGCAUGCCUGGCGGUAGACACCAGGAAACCUGGUUGCUUCUUCUGUGUUUGUAUUUGCUCACCUGAGGUUCUGUCUCAACACCCAGGGUUCUAAUAAACUGUCCAUCGCUGAAUUGCCGAGGGAGGGAAGGGGGCAUGGAAAGAGAGGAUGGGAAAGAAGGCAGAAAUGGCUGCUGGGAGGGUCAGCUCUAUGCUCUGGUGAUGAAGAAGUGGUCUUCUGUGAUGUCCCCAUGCAUUCAGUUCUCAUUCCACCCGGCAGGCCCACCCACCUCAGUGUAUAUAGCUUGACUGUGCCUCCUGAAGACAGGAGCUGUAUACUGAUCAUUUCUUAGGCUUGCAUAUGCCCCUUCAUUAUAAUUUGGAACAACAGAGAAAGACAAAAGGGUGUGCCGUAUAAGUCAAUAAAGUACCCGAUUGGGUUACGUGCAGCCAAGGAAAUGAGUGGAGUGUGUACAGAAGGCUGGAAGUACACAGGGACAAGGUGCCGGCUAUGCCCUCAGCUUGCUUCUCAUCUAUUGGGCGUGACAGGUUUGAGGCAGCUCUGUGGAGCAUGAAUCAGGAUGCCAGUCACUGCUGGAUCUGAGGACCUGGAAAGGAAGUGUGAUGUCUUCGGAACAAAGUUGGGUUGUGCUGUCAAACUUCAGAAAGCAUCCACGCACCCAGUGUCUUCCUGGGAAUCAUCUGUGUGGUUCCGCACUCUUCCUAAUGGCUUCCUGGUACUGAGGCCUCAGCUGAGUGGGCGCCUUGCCAGGGAGUCAGCUGUGACAAAUGUGGUCUGUCGUGGACUCAGCCACGUGUGAGCUGAAGCCGGGCUGCAUCCUGCUUGGGUUCACCUGAGGUCAGUGCCAGACACAAGGGGAGGCCUAUUGCCCUACAUAACAUUUUCCUUCCCCAUGAGAAAGCCUGUGGUGGUCUGAUGUGCUAGCGAUAUAAAUAGACAUGGUGGAGCUUGAAGCAGAUGUCCAGAUAUUGGGAAAACCUCAAUGCCUGCCUCACAACGAAGUGUGUGUGAUUAUGUGAAUGUAUGUAUGCUAGUGUAUGUGUGUGUGUGCAUGAGCGCAUGUCCAUGCAUGUGUGUCUUUUUUCUGUUUUUCUCCUCUGUGUAUGAUGUGUUCAGUUUUUGCUUGUGUAUCUCUCUUUUUCUGUAUGUGUGUGUGUUUCGGCUUGUGGUAGCAUUCGAAGAGAACUGGAUUGGGUAAGGGAGUGUUUAAAAGCAGCAGAACUCUCCUGAACUUGGAUCUGAAGAUGUCUGGUGUUCUUUGAAAAGUCCGAAGUAGAAGCAGAACAACCCUUUGGUCUGCUGGUACCCCACUUCUUAUUUCAAAAAGAUGGCAGUGUUCAGGCUGGGCAUGGGGGAUGGAGGUGAGGCCACCAUUGCCAGUUUCCUUUGGGGGCUCAGUAGAUGUGUACCAAGCCCCUUCUCUGAGGCAGGAGCCAAAGCUGGCAAUGUUAUCUACUUUUGAUGAGAUGCCGUUUCUGUCCUCAGGGUUGGAGGGAAGGCUGGGUAGGAAAUGGAGUCUCUGGAAGAGGCGUAGUUUCUGCAUGAGGAACAUGAGGGAGAUGUGGUGAUCUGGAGCCAGCCCAGAGCUGGACAGGCAGGAGUGGGAAAUGUGUUCCUGAUGCAGAGAAAGGCGGCAGAGGAUGGCGUUCUUGGCGUGAGGCUCUGUGUGUUUGAGCUGCACAAACCGUGGACUCUGCAUGAGGACCAAAGAGGAAACGGUUUCUCAUGGUCCCAGAGGCUGGGGAGUCCAAGGAGAAAGAAGUCACCUUCUCCCUGUGUCUUCACAUAUCCUUGGUGCAUGCAUGAGAAAACUCUUUUCUUAUAUGGUUGCAAAUUCCACCAUGAGGACCUGCCCUCAUGGUCCUUGUCUGACUCCAGUCAUCUCCCAAAGCCCUGCAGCAAUGGAGGUAAAGGCUUCAGAGUCUGAACUUUGAGAGGAGGGAUAUGCCCAGGCUGUGUGUGUGUGUGUGUGGGGGGUCGCAAGUCAUGGGCAGCUGAAUCUGGCCUGCCCCUGGAGAGGAAAGCAGGCCUAUGACAAACAGGGAGACUGUUUGUGCAGGGCACUCCUGAAUCUUAUGACUGAAUUUCUCACAAAGAACAAAGCUUCUCUGGAGGGCUUGGAAGCAUCUGAGAGGGUGGACAUCUUCCCAUCAGGUGCAUGAAGGUGUAAGAAUUCAGGGAGACAUCCCCAGGUUUGCUCCUCUAAGAUGUUGUCUGGGUUCAUUGUAUGGGGUGGCCAUAUCUGUGUGUACAGAAAGGCUUUUCUCUCCAGUUUCCAAUGAUGUGGCCAGAAUGGUGCUUUGGGGGUGGACAGAUGAGCUUCCCAGUACUUGGGAUACACAGGACAGUCUAGUAUCAGUUUCUGGAUAAUAGGGAUGUCAGGGGAGGGGAAUACUCUAGAAAUGUUGAGCUGACUGAGUCCUGUGCACAGAAGGCAAUGGACUCUUUAGCACACAGACAUAACAGUGUCUGAAACCCUUUGGUAGCAGGGAGUGGAUUUACUGUCCCUUGGUGACACUAGGUGGAUCCAAUCUCUCCCUCUGGUUUCUUCCAGGAAGCAGUAUCCCUAGAAUAGCCCAGCUCCAAGUGACAAGCUCCAGCUUCUUGUAGGUGGGGUGCAGGUGUGGAAGGCUCACCUCAGAGACAUGCCCAGAAAGCCCUAGAAGAAAUUUCACUGAAGAUUGAAAACAAUGAAAACAGUCUUGCUCUCUAAGGAUCUUCAGACUCUGAAAACUGCCUCCCUGCACCAAGGAACCUGGAACAACUAUUUUAUGGUCACGAGGUCCUGGUAUGUGCAUAUAUACUCAGAGGUCAAGGCUCCCUGCACCUAUCUUACUUAAGGAUGUUUCUGUGGCAGCCGCAAGACCGUCUGAUGCCGUGAGCAGAGGUGCAGGCACCACCCUGCUGCUACCUUCCAGGCUACAGGCAGAUUGAGGCUACCAGCAACUGAGCCCCAACCUCAGCUCCUUGCCACCCUCCUCUCCUCAGCUGCUUAUGCCCUUCCUCAGCACUUGCUCUGCUGUUGUGUUGACUUUGAUUUCACCUCAACUUGUGGUGUACCACUACAGCUGUGUGAAGAGAUUUUAUUGCCUGCUUCUGCUCCAAGUUGCCCUGCACUCAGAGAAUCUUGUGGCUUUCUAUACAUCCAAAGUAGACCCCCUCAACUCUGCCAGAGCACAGACUUCCACACCAUGUCUGCUCCCACUCACCCUGUGCUGUCAGAACGUCUUCCUGGUCUCACUCUCAGGGCUCAGGCUUGGAGUGGGACCAGGCAUUGGGCUGAACCUGGGAGCCCAAGUCUUCAGGAGCAUCGAGCUCAAGCUACUGGUUCCUGUUUCUGUGACAGAAUAACUGACAAAAGCAUCUUUGAGGAGGCAGGAUUUACUCUGGCAUAUAGUUCAGAGAAUACAGUCCACCGUGUCAAGGAACCACAGCAGCUGAGGUGGCUGGGUCUGUGUGGUGGUUUUCACUUUAGUGCACUCUGUUUGGCCCGAUCCAGCUUGUAGUCCUCAAGCCCUGCCUGUGCCCCUCCCUGCCAUUCAGAAGUUUCCACAAACCAACAAGAGAAUGCCACUAGCUAGGGACCAAACGUUGAAGCCACAACACUGGGCCACAUUGCUCACUGGUCACUGAUAGGUGUGCCUUGUGUCUACAGUGAGAAUGCAGUAGCAAAACUCAUAACUUAGUAGUGGCAACCUGUGCCCUGCACCUCAGGCUUUGGCUGCAUUCUCUUGUCCUCUCCUAUUUUUUUCCCUUCAUGUCCAUCCGGAUUCUCCUGUCCUCAGAGACAUCACCUUCCUUUUCACCUCCUUUCUGCUGGCCCUCUGUUGUAUGCCAAGCUUCCUCAGCAUGGGCGAUCUGUGUGUGAGGGUCUCUUCCCCUCGCCCUCUUAAGCCCGAGUCAGCUUGUUUGCAUCUGGACAAAGGUUUGCACCGUGGAGUUGCGAGUUGUUCCCCAGAAAAGGGUCUUCAACAUAUUAUGGCUUAGGAGCCCUUCAUUCAGAUCGAGAAGAGGGAAGGGUCUCACCUAUUUUUGCUUUGUACCCCCUAAAGCCUUUUGAAGACACUCUUAUGGUAAGAGGAAUCAGAAAGUGAUCACCAAGAUUUGUGCUGCCUGCUGGACACACACACCUUCUCUGGGCUACUCAGAUACGAAACUAGACAACUCUGAUGAUAUUGUCACUGAGAAUCUGAAUUGGCUGACUUUAAGGAAAGAUCAUGGCCCCGAGUGGAGUGAAGCUACUCAAUUUAGUGUUUAAAAAAGCCUGGUGUCCUCCAUGCAAGAGACAAGCAAAGCUUGAGUGAGGUUCAGUUUGUAAGGACCCGUGGAAGGGCACACACGGCAAGAUUAAGAGGCACCUAAGGAGAGCUAAGGAAUGGAACUUGUUCCUAGACAAUAAACAAGAGAAUGGGGGUCUCUGUGAUGCAUCCUAAA